Molecule: ribosomal RNA, 431 nt
Filed under: uncultured bacterium
Lineage: Bacteria
Description: partial 16S ribosomal RNA
Rfam family: Bacterial small subunit ribosomal RNA
Source: RNAcentral
AACGAACGCUGGCGGCAGGCUUAACACAUGCAAGUCGAACGCCCCGCAAGGGGAGUGGCAGACGGGUGAGUAACGCGUGGGAACAUACCCUUUUCUACGGAAUAGCUCUGGGAAACUGGAAUUAAUACCGUAUACGCCCUACGGGGGAAAGAUUUAUCGGGGAAGGAUUGGCCCGCGUGGGAUUAGCUAGUUGGUGGGGUAAAGGCCUACCAAGGCGACGAUCCAUAGCUGGUCUGAGAGGAUGAUCAGCCACAUUGGGACUGAGACACGGCCCAAACUCCUACGGGAGGCAGCAGUGGGGAAUAUUGGACAAUGGGCGCAAGCCUGAUCCAGCCAUGCCGCGUGAGUGAUGAAGGCCUUAGGGUUGUAAAGCUCUUUAACCGAUGAAGAUAAUGACGGUAGUCGGAGAAGAAGCCCCGGCUAACUUCGUG